UACGUAGGUGGCAAGCGUUAUCCGGAUUUAUUGGGCGUAAAGGGAACGCAGGCGGUCUUUUAAGUCUGAUGAGAAAGCCUUCGGCUUAACCGGAGUAGUGCAUUGGAAACUGGGAGACUUGAGUGCAGAAGAGGAGAGUGGAACUCCAUGUGUAGCGGUGAAAUGCGUAGAUAUAUGGAAGAACACCAGUGGCGAAAGCGGCUCUCUGGUCUGUAACUGACGCUGAGGUUCGAAAGCGUGGGUAGCAAACAGG
Molecule: ribosomal RNA, 253 nt
Filed under: uncultured bacterium
Lineage: Bacteria
Description: partial 16S ribosomal RNA
Rfam family: Bacterial small subunit ribosomal RNA
Source: RNAcentral